This 360-nucleotide ribosomal RNA is filed under the name Klebsiella pneumoniae. RNAcentral describes it as "bacterial SSU rRNA". It matches the Rfam family "Bacterial small subunit ribosomal RNA", at positions 1 to 359 of the family's 1533-position model. The record is from RNAcentral. Lineage: Bacteria; Pseudomonadati; Pseudomonadota; Gammaproteobacteria; Enterobacterales; Enterobacteriaceae.
AAAUUGAAGAGUUUGAUCAUGGCUCAGAUUGAACGCUGGCGGCAGGCCUAACACAUGCAAGUCGAGCGGUAGCACAGAGAGCUUGCUCUCGGGUGACGAGCGGCGGACGGGUGAGUAAUGUCUGGGAAACUGCCUGAUGGAGGGGGAUAACUACUGGAAACGGUAGCUAAUACCGCAUAACGUCGCAAGACCAAAGUGGGGGACCUUCGGGCCUCAUGCCAUCAGAUGUGCCCAGAUGGGAUUAGCUAGUAGGUGGGGUAACGGCUCACCUAGGCGACGAUCCCUAGCUGGUCUGAGAGGAUGACCAGCCACACUGGAACUGAGACACGGUCCAGACUCCUACGGGAGGCAGCAGUGGGG